CGGGUCACGAAGCAGAGCCUGAGGGGAGCCCGCAGCAGCUCCGGAGGACCAAGACGCCGACGGGCACUCCUUUCCUUAAGGCUUCCCAGACUUGGCAGAAGACUCCACCUCUGCGUCCUGCAACUCUGCUGCCUCCCCCGCCUUGGCUGGCUCAUCCCUUGUAGGUCCUGCCGGGCUGGGGCCUGGGGUCUCCGAUGGGCUCUCGGCUGGCUCGUCCCCUGCAGGUCCUGCUGGGCGGGGGCCUGGGGUCUCCGAUGGGCUCUCGGCUGGCUCGUCCCCUGCAGGUCCUGCUGGGCUGGGGCCUGGGGUCUCCGAUGGGCUCCCAGGGGUACCUUCUUUGGGCCCCGUUCGACCUUCUGUGUCCUCCUCAACCCCGUUCUCACUGUGUCCGACCCUGGGUGCUGGCCUCGUGGUCGGGGUCCCCGGG
Molecule: long non-coding RNA, 427 nt
Filed under: Homo sapiens (human)
Lineage: Eukaryota; Metazoa; Chordata; Mammalia; Primates; Hominidae
Description: HSALNT0402416
Source: RNAcentral